ACCUUGACCAUGGAAGGAAGUAGAUUUAUUUAAUUAUUAUUUAUUUUUAAACUUGUAAGCAACAUUUAUUUAUCUUAAAAUGUAAGAUUUGCUGUUAAGGGUGCCUUCAAUGUUUACAACAGACAUUUUGUAAAACCUUGCUUCCCCCUGUCUGUGUUUGAGAUUAAAAACAAAUUAGGACAAAAAAAGGGUUAAUCUAUCUCUGACAGAAUGACAACACUCAAAAACAUAAACUUUAACGAGUAUUAGAUUUAGAGUUACUGUCCCUUUUAAACAUUAAUUUCCACCAGUAAAGUACAAG
Molecule: unclassified non-coding RNA, 301 nt
Filed under: Hevea brasiliensis (rubber tree)
Lineage: Eukaryota; Viridiplantae; Streptophyta; Magnoliopsida; Malpighiales; Euphorbiaceae
Source: RNAcentral